RNAcentral lists this non-coding RNA (147 nucleotides) under Nomascus leucogenys (northern white-cheeked gibbon). Lineage: Eukaryota; Metazoa; Chordata; Mammalia; Primates; Hylobatidae. The record is from Rfam by way of RNAcentral.
GCCGGGCAUGGUGGCGCAUGCCUGUAGUCUCAGCUACUCCAGAGGUUGAGGUGGAAGAAUCGCUUGAACCCAGGAGGCAGAGGUGCAGUGAGCUGAGAUGCCGCCACUGCACUCCAGCCUGGGUGACAGAGCAAGACUCUGUCUCAA